CCAAGGCGACGAUCAGUAGCCGACCUGAGAGGGUGAUCGGCCACAUUGGAACUGAGACACGGUCCAAACUCCUACGGGAGGCAGCAGUGGGGAAUAUUGCACAAUGGGCGAAAGCCUGAUGCAGCAACGCCGCGUGAGUGAUGAAGGCCUUCGGGUCGUAAAACCCUGUCCUCAAGGAAGAUAAUGACGGUACUUGAGGAGGAAGCCCCGGCUAACUACGUGCCAGCAGCCGCGGUAAUACGUAGGGGGCUAGCGUUAUCCGGAUUUACUGGGCGUAAAGGGUGCGUAGGCGGUCUUUCAAGUCAGGAGUGAAAGGCUACGGCUCAACCG
RNAcentral lists this ribosomal RNA (330 nucleotides) under Clostridioides difficile. RNAcentral's name for it is "bacterial SSU rRNA". It matches the Rfam family "Bacterial small subunit ribosomal RNA", at positions 268 to 615 of the family's 1533-position model. Lineage: Bacteria; Bacillati; Bacillota; Clostridia; Peptostreptococcales; Peptostreptococcaceae. The record is from RNAcentral.